This 484-nucleotide ribosomal RNA is filed under the name uncultured bacterium. RNAcentral describes it as "partial 16S ribosomal RNA". It matches the Rfam family "Bacterial small subunit ribosomal RNA", at positions 30 to 507 of the family's 1533-position model. The record is from RNAcentral.
AUUGAACGCUGGCGGCAGGCCUAACACAUGCAAGUCGAGCGGACGAAGGGAGCUUGCUCCUGGAUUCAGCGGCGGACGGGUGAGUAAUGCCUAGGAAUCUGCCUGGUAGUGGGGGAUAACGUCCGGAAACGGGCGCUAAUACCGCAUACGUCCUGAGGGAGAAAGUGGGGGAUCUUCGGACCUCACGCUAUCAGAUGAGCCUAGGUCGGAUUAGCUAGUUGGUGGGGUAAAGGCCUACCAAGGCGACGAUCCGUAACUGGUCUGAGAGGAUGAUCAGUCACACUGGAACUGAGACACGGUCCAGACUCCUACGGGAGGCAGCAGUGGGGAAUAUUGGACAAUGGGCGAAAGCCUGAUCCAGCAAUGCCGCGUGUGUGAAGAAGGUCUUCGGAUUGUAAAGCACUUUAAGUUGGGAGGAAGGGCAGUAAGUUAAUACCUUGAUGUUUUGACGUUACCAACAGAAUAAGCACCGGCUAACUUCGUG